CGCCCAUACUCCUACUUUAUGCAGCAUUGAUUAAUAUUUUUCAAUUUACUAUAUUCUGAACCAUCCAAGUAGCUUGAAUGAUUACUGCCCUAUGUGUUGUAAACUUCUUUUAUAUUGGAAUAAAAUUUUCCACUUGUGGGAUUUUUUAUGUACCAUAUGAAUAAGUAUCGGCUAACUCCGUGCCAGCAGCCGCUGUAAUACUGAUGAUCCUAUCGUUAUCCUGAUUUAUUGGGUUUAAAGGGAGCGUAGGUGGAUUGUUAAGCAAGUUGUGAAAGUUUGCGGAUAAAAAGUAAAAUUGAAGUUGAAAAUGGAAGUAUUGAGUAAAGUAGAGGUGGGAGGAAUUAGUGGUGUAGAGGUGAAAUGAUUAGAUAUAAAGAAGAAAUAAGAUUGAGAAGGAAGUUAAAUGGAAUGAAAAUGAAAAUGAGGAUAGAAAGUGUGGGUAUAAAAAAGGAUUAGAUAAAAGAGUAG
This 468-nucleotide ribosomal RNA is filed under the name uncultured bacterium. RNAcentral describes it as "bacterial SSU rRNA". It matches the Rfam family "Bacterial small subunit ribosomal RNA", at positions 328 to 793 of the family's 1533-position model. The record is from RNAcentral.